RNAcentral lists this transfer RNA (75 nucleotides) under Acropora cervicornis. Its description in RNAcentral is "tRNA-Thr". It matches the Rfam family "tRNA". From Rfam's summary of the family: Transfer RNA (tRNA) molecules are approximately 80 nucleotides in length. Their secondary structure includes four short double-helical elements and three loops (D, anti-codon, and T loops). Further hydrogen bonds mediate the characteristic L-shaped molecular structure. tRNAs have two regions of fundamental functional importance: the anti-codon, which is responsible for specific mRNA codon recognition, and the 3' end, to which the tRNAs corresponding amino acid is attached (by aminoacyl-tRNA synthetases). tRNAs cope with the degeneracy of the genetic code in two manners: having more than one tRNA (with a specific anti-codon) for a particular amino acid; and 'wobble' base-pairing, i.e. permitting non-standard base-pairing at the 3rd anti-codon position. The record is from RNAcentral. Lineage: Eukaryota; Metazoa; Cnidaria; Anthozoa; Scleractinia; Acroporidae.
GGCUUCAUAGCUCAGUUGGUUAGAGCAAUUUGCACCGGUAUCGCGAGGUCAUGGGUUCAAACCCCGUUGAAGUCC